ACUUUCGAACAAACCGUUUCGGACCGAUGUUUAUCUUAUAUAUCGAAUAUUGAAUUAUAUAUGUGCCAUCAUGUAAAUAUAAAUAUAAAUUAUAGCGUGGAUGAAAUAACUUGCUAUCAUUAUAAGAAAAAAAAGAAAAAAUGACAACGAACCAUAUUCGUUUCGCAAGAGAAGCCUACGCUUCGAAUACGUAUUCGUUGCGAUUUGUGAUGGCAUUCGCACGCAAUUUAAUUUCAAGAUAACGAACAAAUACGAACAAGAAAAAGAGAGAGAGAGAGAGAGAGAGGAUACCAAAAAAUUUUCAACAAACAAUUCACCAUUUCUCUCCUCAGUAUAGCCAGUUGUGUAUCCAAUGUGGUAAGCUGUCUAGCAGGAGGUGAUGGCCUGGACGAUGAUUGGAUCGGGGUUUUACCGCCUCUUUGCGUUUUACUGGAAGAUCUAGUGGGUGGCGGAGGUGGUUCGCAACCCUCGCUUCGUCCACCACUCAAAUUGAACCCACUAAGACUCCUUGGUAACGGUGGUAGACCUUGCAGGGAAGACAUAGCGAUCCUUUCUUGUAUGCUGAAAAAGGCGAGAGUUUCGUUCAAUCAAUUGGAAUUGAGAAUGGAAUAAAAUCAAGGAUCGAUUGAAACUACUCUCUACUAAUUCGAAAUCUAUCGACGAUCUUCGCCAACUUGGAAGCGUUUUUUCGACUAUGUACAAGUUUGUUAUGCAUUCGGCUAUUCGUUUCGACAUCACCGUUUCGCACGAACGAAGCGACGAAGUAGGUUAGCAGGUAAAGGAAAUUAGAAACAGGACGAUACUCUGAUAUUGCGCGCAGAAUAAAAAAAACGGUAAAGAGCAUUCGACUCUGCCAUUCUAUUUUGCACGUUCUUUUAUUUUUCCUUUGCCACUCGUUUUAUCACGCAAUUAAAUCGUCAAAGCAAAAUGUGUAAUCGUGUAACACGAGGAACUCUUGAUGAAUCGAAUCACUGGAUUAUUGUAUACACCGGAUAUUAUAUACAAAUCAACUGUUGCAAUAGUUUUACAAGCAAUUAUCAAGUUUGUUUACAGUAAAAUAUAUCAACACGAUUAAUCAACACGUCAGUAUCGAUCGAUCAAACUUCUUUAAAAUUACGUUACAUCGAUGAUUAAUCGGUGAACUACCUUGGAACGUUAAAGUCCCCGAAUUUCUCGUUUUCACAACGAUCAAAUCCAUUGACUCGACUUCCGUCAAUAACGUCGCCAUCUUCUCCGGACAAUCUGAUCUGCGUGGACGAAUAGUGAACACCGGCUUCCAACCAAUCUUGUCGAUGAAUGUUGUCGUUGUCUUUGUCAUUCUCCGCAUCCUUGCCGCUGCUGUUGUGUUGCUUGACGUCGUGAUUGCGAUCGUCACAGUGAUCAGGAUGAUCGUUGGAUGCGGCUUUACGGUCCGAUUCGUCGAUAACAACCACUGUAGCACGGUCAACGUUCGAAACCGAAGAUUGGAUCGUAGUGGAAGUUUCCGCGCUUUUCCUCGCCGCGUCUCGAUAUUUCACGAGACACGAUCUCUGGGUUGGCGUUGGCCGCGCCGAGCCAUCGGCUUUGCUUUUCUCCGAGCAUUGCGUUCUCUCUGAAAAACUUAGGCCUCCCCUUUCCCCGUUUUUCUUCGAUUCCGAAACGUCGGGCGAAAUGUGACAACACUGUACCUCGUCCAGAGCCACGCGCGACUCGAUCCCAGUAAUUUUGGCAUCGUUGUCGCAAUCGGUCGAUUCCUUCGCGCGAGAAGUCGGCUCUGACUCGAUUCUCGCUUUCUCGCUCCCAGUCGUUCUGUCGAUAUUGCUUAUCGACUUCUCACUUACCGGCGAUCUCUCACCAGUGGUGAUUGCUCCAUUGAAGGAGCGUUCUUUAGAGGACACACGUUCGAGCAGAGCGGAAUGACACGGGCUCGAGCGAUCCUCUUUCUCUCGCGGCGAGGAAGAAACGGCGCCGUCGGUGUUGGGGCUCGAUUCAGCGGAAUUUGGCCGAUGUUCCUGGUCGGGUACGCGGUGCCGCCUUUCCCGCGAAUUUCCACGCCAGUCGUCCUCGUCCGCGCGCCUUUCACUCGCGGCUCGAGAAACGGGUUCGCGAUUCUUGUCGGCCGGCGAAUCGCAAUCGCCGCCGCUUUCGUUGUUGGCUUCUUUGGGAAGCGACGACUCUUUGAUCGAAGAUUCGUAAACAAGCGUGCGUCCAACAGGAGCGGGAUACACCUGUUGCCGAUUGUUCGCCCGAUCUCGAUCGGAUCUCCACGGUUUGGUGUUGGGCGGUGGUGGGGCCUGCCUGGUCGGGCAGGGCGGCCUUGGUGAUCUUUUAAGGGCUUCUGCGACCACCUGCCGACUGGGUCGUGGCGGCACUGGUGGUGGGUGAGGCCUUUGCGUCGCUGCCAAUUGCAUUUCGCUCGUGAUCUCUUCAAAUUCACUCUCUCUCUAUCUAUCUAUCUACUCAUCGUUCCGCGAACAUUUCGACUUUAUCCGAAUACUCAAGCCUGGAAAUUUAUUCGUGAUAACGAAUAAUCUCGAUUAUCUCCGGUUUCUCGAUUGAUACGAUAAACGAUAAGCGAUUCGUGAUUAAAAGUUGAAAAUAUAAUAUAACAGGUUAUAAUUAACCAAGACAAUUAAACCAGGAGUUGUUAUUCUCCUCGAUCGAUAACGUUAAGUUGCAAUUUGAAAUUAAACAAUCAAAUUGCUCAUCGAAUGAUCCGCGUCACGUUUUUGCGUUCCAUGGAUGUUGAUGUUCGCCACGCGAACAACAUUGACGCGAUACGCAAUGAAGGCAGAUGCGCCGAUGCACCAUAGAUGUUUAUUCGUAAUUCCUCUUUCGUUUCAAUUUUAUCCCCUUCGAAUUUUAUUCCAUUCCUUGUUUUCUUCCUCUUUUUUUUUUUUAUACCGAUGUAUACGAACGAUACGUUUUCUCGAAGAAAAAACACCAAUAAAUAAUUUAACAGUUAAUCAUCGACGCGAUGAUACGAGUGUUUUCAUGAUUCACAGUUUCACGGGAUAACACUGGUUCGACUUGUGGAACGCGCGACAUUUUCAAAGACGCCCGAUUAUUUAAACGCGAAACAAGCGCGAAACGUUGCCGCGAUGUGAAGCGAGUCGUGUUGAAGCGAGUUGAGGCGAAUUGUGGCGAGGUGAGACGAGGUGAAGUGAGAGGAGGCGAGGCGAGGCGAGGCGAGGCGGUGAGGCGAGGCGAGGUGAGGUAAGACGAGGCGAAGCGAGGUAGGGUAAGCUUAGGUGAGAUGAGGUGAGGCGAGGUGAGGUAUAGUGCGGUGAGGUGAGUUGAGGUGAAGUGGGGUGAGGUAUAGUGAGGUUAGGUGAGGCUUCGUGAGGUGAGACGAGGUGAGGCGAAGAGAAGGUGACACGUUAGACCGGCGAGGACUCGGUUGAAGAAACUCGGUCCGUGGUAUCCUCGAUCCGUUAUCGUCUCCUAUGUUAUGUCCCCUGAACCCUUCUUUCCCCUCUAUGGUCCGUCCAAUGGUCCACCAGCAAUAGCACGUUCUAUAAUCCGUUUCCCUCUCUGUUGUCCGUUGAACGGACUACAGCUAACUGACUUCGCGAUCCCGACAAACAUCCUUCGUGUUCGAAGAACCACGUGACUGGGCUCGAGAGCUCGAGCUCUAGCCCGAGUUCUCGAGUAGGCAGUGGACGUGCUACGCCGAACCUUUGUGCCUAUCUCUCCCGAUCGCAUGUACGUGUGUUCGAUGGUACGCGCCAGUGUAUUGGUAUGUUGGCAAAAGGACAUGCUGGAGAGACUGACAGAUUUGAACCUAACAACGCGAUUUUCAUAAAUUUACACGAGAAAGAAAAAAUGAUAGAGUUACACUAUGUAAAGAAUGUAACGAAAUCGACUAUGUUUAGAUCUCUUAACUUUUUUUCUUUGAAAACUUUUUAGCCAUCUAACUGUUCAAAAGUACUCGGAAUAGUAGAUAGAUCUAAAGUAGUACUUCGAAUCUGUCGCUAUUUGUGAACAAGCGAAUGGACCUCGUCGUUCGUAUAUGCUGUUUGUAUAUGAUAGAAAGAGAAGGGAAUUAUGAGUAGGGGAAUCAGGCAGUGGGAUUCGAGGGGUUAGAGAGGUAAAAGAGGGAGUGUAAAAAGCAGGACGAGAGUGAUCGACGCGUGUGUAUACGUGUACAAUUACGCGUGCUAUGCAAGAGACACGGAGGAAAAGACGUGAGCGCAAACGAUACGAGGAAAAAGGAUGAGUAAGCCAAAACGAUAUAUAGUUAGAGCGCGGAAUGGGUCGAAGGAAACGCGGAGGAAACAAGUAAUUGCGAGAGAUAAAUACACCUUUACAGAGUAUCGAAAAAAAGAAGCAAGUAGAGAAAGAAAGUAGUGCAACGAAGUGAAUCGAUGAAUGGGAUUUGCGUAUACGCAACGCACAAUGCACAUUACCUGAUUAUUCGUUGCGUGCUGACACCUGCGGGACUAUCGGCAAACCAGCUACUCCUUGAACUUCCAUUCUUGACGACACAUCGGACAGAGAUGACUGGUUUGUUGGGAAUGCAACCACUUCAUGAUGCAGUGUAUGUGGAAGCAAUGUGAGCAUUGGCCCCAGACUGGAACAAUAUCGGACAAUCAUCUCCUGGAAUUUUACAAUCAGGACAACUGGCAUCAAAAGGCAUUCUACAUAUACCACAAUUGUCAUCAUUCGCUAUCCAACGCCAGGUGGCAACACCAGUCCAACCUUAAAAAAUAUUUACAAAUAUUUAACUUUUAUAUAUUAUGAUUCGUAAUUUAAACACAUAUGAUUAAAUAUAAAUAAUGAAAUAAAAUAAAAAAGAAAUAGAAAAAUCUAAA
Molecule: long non-coding RNA, 4793 nt
Organism: Apis cerana (Asiatic honeybee)
Lineage: Eukaryota; Metazoa; Arthropoda; Insecta; Hymenoptera; Apidae
Source: RefSeq, a predicted model, not a curated record